GGCGAACGGGUGCUUAACACGUGGGCAAUCUGCCGAGAAGUGGGGGAUAGCUCGCCGAAAGGCGAAUUAAUACCGCAUGUGAUCAGAGUGGACAUCCAUUCAAAAUCAAAGUCGGGGCAACCUGACGCUUCUUGAGGAGCCCGCGGCCUAUCAGCUAGUUGGUGAGGUAACGGCCCACCAAGGCUUUGACGGGUAGCUGGUCUGAGAGGACGACCAGCCACACUGGGACUGAGACACGGCCCAGACACCUACGGGUGGCAGCAGUCGAGAAUUUUUCUCAAUGGGGGAAACCCUGAAGGAGCGACGCCGCGUGGAGGAUGAAGGUCUUCGGGUUGUAAACUCCUGUCAUUUGGGAACAAUGCGUAAAUAUUAACUGUAUUUGCGUUGAUAGUACCAGAAGAGGAAGAGACGGCUAACUCUGUGCCAGCCGCCGCGG
Molecule: ribosomal RNA, 436 nt
Filed under: uncultured bacterium
Lineage: Bacteria
Description: bacterial SSU rRNA
Rfam family: Bacterial small subunit ribosomal RNA
Source: RNAcentral